Molecule: long non-coding RNA, 902 nt
Organism: Schistocerca gregaria
Lineage: Eukaryota; Metazoa; Arthropoda; Insecta; Orthoptera; Acrididae
Exons: 3
Source: RefSeq, a predicted model, not a curated record
GACUGGGAUAAACAACAUACAUCACUGAGAAAAUUACAACUUGCAGCAGUCGUGCGGACGAUUAAUCGAGAUGACAACCACAGCAGCAGCAGCAGGAAACGAGUGAAUAAAAAUAAGAUUUCCUCUGGAAAAGAAGAGCUGUUAAGUCGGUGGGUAGCCAAUAUGAGGUGAGAUAAGUGGCAGACAACUCAAUAUAGUUACAUAUUUUCGUUUCAUUUUGAAGAUAGAUACAUGUAUAGUACAAACGAGAAAAGGCGACUUCUGGCAAACGCAGUACCGAUAAUAUUUACGUUUGCUGACCAUCUGCAGAAAACAACCAUAGUAUAGAGACAACCAAGGAAACGGCCUGUCAGUGAGAAGUCAGUUUCCUUAUCAAAUGAACCAGGUGAAAGAGUGAAUCAGAAUGAUCAUACAGACCAUUCUUAUUGUUUGCCUAGCCCCAAAAAAUUGAAACAGAAUUAUGAGACACUACAGAAAAGGACUGAGAAGCUGAGGAAGCAAGCGGAACAUGCAAGGCAAGGUGUUUCAAGAAAGAAGAAACAAAAUGUGACAUAUGAAACAGUGGUUGUACGCCUAAAUAAGAGACUUCGAGACUGUGUUUCUGAAGUGAUAGGAUGUGACAAAAAAUAGUGAUAUUCUGAAGCACUUUUUGGAAUGCAAAACGAAUGUUCAAUUCCUGAAUAUCCUAAAGAAAUAAGACAGUUUGCCCUUACACUCAAUUUGUACUCCUUCAAAGUUUAUAAUUAUUUGCAGAAGUCUGUUAAAUUACCCCGUCCUACGCUGUCAAUUGGUCGUUUUUGGACCUACUGAUUUAAAAUUGUUUUUGACCUAAUCUAUAUGGCAUUGCAGCGAAAUGAACUGCAACAUUUCGUAAUAAACUUUUCAAUUAAUCGAUGUCAGAA